AUGCCUUCCUGGAACGACGAGGAAACGAGCUCGGAGGAGGAGUGCGAGGUCGUCAGCAUGGACAUGGGACUUAUGGAGGAACCAGACACCAUUGUGGAGCCCCUUUUCUGUGGCCAACUUGAGCUUGUUCAUCCCAAGUGCCUGCACCAAAUGAGGCCUAUUAAGCGUGUUGCUUUUGAAGGGCCUGAAAAUGGUGUGAAUUGUGGUGUUGUAGAGUGGGUUGACGGGCCUUGGCCUCCCGUUCUUCAGAGAUGUUUGUGCAAGCUAUGGGAAAUGUUCCAUGAGCAGAACCUAGGAAGGGUACUUGACAAGGAGAAGUUUGAGAAGGAGUUGGCCAAGCUUAAGAGUGAACAUGAAAGGGAGUUGGCCAAGCUUAAGACUGAAAAUGACAAGCUUUGCAUUGAGUACACCAAGCUUGUUGAUGACGUAUCCAAGAUGUUUGAUUGGCAGGAUGGUAGGGUGGACAAGAAGGUGUACCAGAAACAAGUGGAGGAGGAAGAACUUGAGAAGAAGAAGAAGGAGCUAGAGGAGAAAGUUAUGUUGGAGGUGCAGAUGGAAAAGCUUAAACUUACCAAGAAGGCUAUGAAGGAUGUUGAAGUUGACAGAGAUGUUCUUAAGAAGGAGAAGGCAAAGCUUGAGCUAGUUGUUGCCGAGCUGCUGAAAGAUGGGUAUGGCAGCAAGGACAAGUUAGAGCAAAUCAAGGCCAUCCUUGAGUCAUGA
This 720-nucleotide ribosomal RNA is filed under the name Triticum aestivum (bread wheat). Its description in RNAcentral is "partial small subunit ribosomal RNA". The record is from RNAcentral. Lineage: Eukaryota; Viridiplantae; Streptophyta; Magnoliopsida; Poales; Poaceae.